This is a non-coding RNA of Bacteroidetes bacterium GWE2_39_28, 405 nucleotides long. The record is from Rfam. NCBI's taxonomy places the organism in Bacteria, Pseudomonadati, Bacteroidota.
GGGGAUGUUUUGGUUUUGACAGCAUUCACAAUCGGAAGAUAAGCACGUCGAGCGUUGUAUCCCCGGCUCGUAAAUCCCGGAGUACAAGCCAUAACUGGCAACAAUAACUAUGCACUCGCUGCGUAAUUUAAGCAUAGCUUAAAACGCUUAAUUGUGGCAGGCCAGGUCCUGUUAUAACGAGUAUCCCGCCGGGUCUUUAAGCCCUCUAUGAAACGGCAAAUGGGGUAUCAUUCAAGAGUGGAUGCGGAGGCGGACUCCUUUAAAGUCUCCUAAGUACUCAGAGGAUAAGCCGUGAGUGGCCUGCCUUUCGGCAGCUCGCGGACGAAAAUUGUAGAAAGGAUAAACGUGUAGAAGCUCUUUGGAUGGUUUGUUUGGACGGCGGUUCGAGUCCGCCCAUCUCCACAA